This 457-nucleotide ribosomal RNA is filed under the name Lancefieldella parvula. RNAcentral describes it as "bacterial SSU rRNA". It matches the Rfam family "Bacterial small subunit ribosomal RNA", at positions 28 to 498 of the family's 1533-position model. Lineage: Bacteria; Bacillati; Actinomycetota; Coriobacteriia; Coriobacteriales; Atopobiaceae. The record is from RNAcentral.
GAUGAACGCUGGCGGCGCGCCUAACACAUGCAAGUCGAACGAUUAAAGCACCUUCGGGUGUGUAUAAAGUGGCGAACGGCUGAGUAACACGUGGGCAACCUGCCCCUCUCAUUGGGAUAGCCACGGGAAACCGUGGAUAAUACCGAAUACUUCGGGACUUCCGCAUGGAAGACUCGAGAAAGCUCCGGCGGAGAGGGAUGGGCCCGCGGCCUGUUAGCUUGUUGGUGGGGUAACGGCCUACCAAGGCAAUGAUGGGUAGCUGGGUUGAGAGACCGACCAGCCAGAUUGGGACUGAGACACGGCCCAGACUCCUACGGGAGGCAGCAGUGGGGAAUCUUGCACAAUGGGCGAAAGCCUGAUGCAGCGACGCCGCGUGCGGGAUGAAGGCCUUCGGGUUGUAAACCGCUUUCAGCAGGGACGAGGCGAAAGUGACGGUACCUGCAGAAGAAGCCCGGCU